AUUUUUAUUAGAGAUGGGGUUUCACUGUGUUAGCCAGGAUGGUCUUGACCUCCUGACCUCAUGAUCCACCCGCCUCCGCCUCCCAAAGUGCUGGGAUUACAGGCGCGAGCCAGUGCGCCCGGCCCGGUGAAACCAUGUCUCUACUAAAAAUUCAAAAAAUUAGCCGGACCUAAUUUUUUGGUUGCCUGAGCCUGUAAUGCCAGUUACUCGGGAGGCUGAGUAUUCUCUGGUUGAGGAAGGAGAAUAGCUUGAACGCAGGAGGCAGAGGUUGCAGUAAGGCGAGAUCGCGCCAUACACUCCAGCGGACUGUUUGCUGUUAAUCCCAUAGGGAAAAGAAAAGCUUAGUUUUAUUUCUAUAGAACAACAACAAAAAAAGCUAAGAGAUUAGUAGAGACGGGUUCACCAUAUUUGCCCACACACGCCUGAGGUCGAGCGAUAUUAACAUAAACAUAACCUAUCGACCUACCUCAUAGAUUGCUGGGAUUACAAACGUGAGAACCACUAUGUCCCAAAUUUUUAGUUUCAGUGAAGUUACAGAUGGGAACAAAGACCUGAUUCUCAGCUUAUGCUGACGCCUAGUAUGCGUUUCUGCAGCAAACAAAACGUACUUUUAAAACGACAAAAAUGCAGGGGAAAGCAUGAACGCAGUCCACCACUACCACAAAUCAUACAGUCGAGUUCCCCACAUUUGCAGAAACUGCAGGGGUCAGCACAUCCGGAGUGCAAUGGAUAAGCCUCGCUCUGGAAAAAACCACCUUCGUGACUAUGGUAUCUCUCCUGCCAGGUCCGACCAGCGGUCCUGAACCCGCUCCCACGGCACGGGAACUCCUUCGUGGUGAAGCAGCAUGUGGCGAAGCAGCAGCCCCUGCGCUGGCUCAUCUACAUAGAAGUCGCCCUAUCCGUGAUGUCACCGACAGUGCCUUUCCCAGUCCCCGUCUGCCUUUCUGCCGCUCAGCCGACCAACCCGCUGCCGGAGCCGGCAAGGGGAAGUGAUGUCUGCCUCUCCCUUUUUUCUCUCCUGCUUCCCUUAUCUGUUCUCUUCCAAAGAAGCUGGUCCUUAGCCUGUAUUGCGGAGCAAGCUUUCGGCGACCAGCUGGACCCUGGGCACCCUUCUUCGAACAAUGGCUUUUAGUUCUCAGACUAGAACGUUUAGGAUUACAAAAGAAACUGGUUAUUUUCACAUCCUUAUUCUUGUGAUGUAGCAUUCCGCAUAUAUAUAUAUAUAUAUCCAACUAUCCUAAAAGACACUGCCCUUCAUCAUUCCAUGCCGUUAGACAUUUAUAGGACCAUGCAUGGUGAUCUCCUCCAGACAAAAGUAAAUGCUGGUGCAGAACAGGAUUUGAGUUUGAUGUCAUGCAUAUAAUGUGAUCCCACUGUAUGACUACACAAAUGUUGGCAAAAGUAAGUUCAGAGGAAAUGGUAGGCAAGUACUUCCCAGUUUUGACCAGAAGAUGGAGAAAAAAAGAAUUCUCAAAAAAUGUUAAAGGUGUCUACAGAGAAAUAGACAAGCGAUGCACGACAGAUACAUGUGUCAGUCCGGUCCCUGCAGUUGUAUUUGUAAUAAUACACAUUGGAGCAAUUUCAUGGCCAUCGGUUAGAGAAUGUUUGAGGAAUGAUCCAUUCAUAUCAAGAAGGACAUUUCAAAGAUCAAAACCUGAUGGAAAUGCUGGAGACCAUGGCGCUGAUAGGAGCUCAUGUGUGUUGACCAAUUACUACAUGACAGGCAUUGUCUCCACGCUUUUCCUGCACUGCUCAUUUAAACACUGGACAACCUAAGUGUUCUGAUUUAGCCCAUUGGACAGAUAGAAAUGGAGGCACAGAAGAUUAAUGUGUUUAACUUCAAACCCUGGCAGAUUAGGUUUUUCAUCCAGAGCCUGUGGCUUCACCAUAGGUGUGAUUCACGUUCUGUCAUUCUCCACUUUAGGAAUUUCCAGUAUUCCAAAUAUGAGAAGCUGAGAAAACAAACAACAAACUCAAAACCCUAAAAACCAGGAUACAUAAGGGUAGAUGUUUGUUGGGUGUGGAUUAAAAAUGGACUUUUUUUGCCCCAAGCAACAAAGAGGCACCUUAGAAAAUAGACAAGAGACAAGAGGAAGAGAAGCUUUAAGAGAUAUUUGGUCCAAGGAGGAGACUCUUCAGAUGGAAGGUCAUGUCAGCUAGAAACAUUAAUAUGACUGGAUGGGCUCAAACCACUGACUUUUCAGUCAACAUCCGACAGCACUAACCCAGUGUUCCAGAGACACUGCUUGUUAAACAGUGAAAGCUGUUGCUCAAUUGUGUCAUCCAUAAUUGUCAAAUAUUGCCAUUUAGUAGCACAAGGAAGUAUUCUCCGUUGCCAAGCUAGAGUACCCAUAACUCUUCUGUUUUGUUGAACAUUCUUCCCCACCACAAACCCUCUUUAGAAGACUGGGGGCUCCUAAAGCAUUGAGGCCGAGAGUCCCGUCCUUGUGCAAGUUUGGGCAUUGACCCAGGGCCAAGUCAGUGGGAGACUCCUCCACACCUACGCCAGGUCCCCAGGUGACAACUGCAGUCUCUGGAUCUGAAGUCAUCCACGUUCCCAUUCCUAGCUCACCUCACCCAUCGUGAAGCCUGGUUAGUAUUGCCAGAGACCCGAGUGGGCAGAUGCCCACACCAAAGACAGAACCUGCUGCGUGCCCACCUUGCUGAUCCCUCCCUCCUUCUAGACAAAGGCUUCAUAAGCCAGGGACCUUGGGUUUGCUCACAAGGCAGCCCCUCACCUAGUAGGCAUUAGUUCAUUAUGUAUAUGUAUAUGUAGUCCUCAGGUUGUAUUCCUUAAAUAUAUAUAGUUUAAGGAUAUGUAUUAUAUAUAUAUAUAAAUAUAUAUGUAAUUCCUUAAAUAUAUAAUUUUAAUACAAUUUUUUUUUGAGACAGAGUCUCACUCUGUCUCCCAGGCUGGAGUGCAGUGGCACCAUCUUGGCUCACUGCAAGCUCCACCUCCCAGGUUCACGCCAUUCUCCUGCCUCAGCAUCCCAAGUACCUGGGACUACAGACGCCCGCCACCACGCCAGGCUAAUUUUUUUUUUUUGUAUUUUUAGUAGAGAUGGGGUUUCACCAUGUUAGCCAGGAUGGUCUUGAUCUUCUGACCUCAUGAUCCACCCACCUCGGCCUCUCAAAGUGCUAGGAUUACAGGCGUGGACCACCGCGCCUGGCCAAAACAAAGUUUUUAAAAGAUUCCUUUAAUAAACAUUUACAAUAACAUCAAGAAAUAUAAACGACCUAGCAAAUAUGUGAAAGCCAGCCAGACUCUCAAUGGCAUCCAGAAAUAUAAACGACAUAGAAAAGACAUGAAAGCCAGCCAGGCUUGGCUUCAAAUCCCAGCACUUUGGAAGGCUGUGGCAGGAGGGUUGCUUGAUCUCAGAAGCUUGAAACUAGCCUAGGCAACAUAGUGAGCCCUCAUCUCUACUGAAAAUCAGAAAAAUUAUCCGGGUUUGGUGGUGUGAGCCUGUAGUCCCAGGAAUCAGUGGAUGAGGCCCUAGGAUGUCAUAGGCCUGAGAAUUCCAUGCUGCAGUGAGCUGUGAUUGUGCCAGUGUACUCCAGCCUGGGUGAAAGAGUGAGAUCCUGUCUAGAAACAAAAGAAGAAAAAAAGAGAUAUGAAAGCCUAUAUAUUGAAGACUACCAAGUACUGCUUAGAGCAGUUAAAGACCUUUGGAAUAGAAAAUGUUUCUUCUUGCAUUUCAAGAUUGCUUUUUUUUGGGGGGGACACACUAUUUUUUAGGAAUAUGAAGUUCUUCUCAGGCAUUCCUGUAAAAAAGGCCACUUUUUGAUAGGAUUGUAUUGAAUCUGUGGGUUGCUUUGAGUUGUAUUUUUAUCUUAACCAUGUUACAACUUCCAACCCAUGGACCCAAGAUGUCUGUCCAUUGAUUUAGGUCUUCCUGAAUCUCCUCGAGCAAUGUUCUGUAGUUGUCUGUGUACAAGUACUGCACCUUCUUGAACAAAUUUAUUCCCAGGCAUAUUAUUCUUACAAGUGCUAUUAUAAAUGAAAUCAUUGUGUCAAUUUUCUUCUCAGAUUGUUCAUUGCUAACACAACUGAUUGUUUGCUGAAAGUUUGCUGAAUUCGCUUAUUAACUCUAGUAGUGUGUGUAUGUGAGUGUGUGUGUGUGUGUGUCUGGCCUCUAUGUGCGCAUGUAUGUGUGUUUGCAUCUGUAGGUAUUAUUUGGGAUUUUCUAUGCAUAGGAUCACACCAUCUGCAAAUUGAGAUCAUUUUGUUUUCUGUUCAAAAAUACUUUUUCUCAUGUUUAUUUUUAAAAGAUAAUUUGGCCAGGUGUAGAAUUGUAGGUGACAGUUUUCCUUUUUUUAAGUACUCUAUUGCAAACUUCUUGUUUGUAUGAGAAAUCUUAUGCCAUCCUUAUAUUUAGUGCUCUGUAUGUAACAUGUUCUUUCCCUUUUUAUUCCUUUUAGGAUUUCCUUUUUAUCACUGGUUUUGAUGGAUUUGAUUAAGAUGUUCCUUGGUGAAGUUUUCUUCAUGUUUCUUGUUCUUAGAAUAAUCAUAUUUCUGUAAUAUUUGAAGUUUAUGGUUUCCAUGGAGCUUCUAAAUCUUUCAUCCAGUAUGUUUUAAAUAUCUUUGUCUCUCUUCUCCACUAACUGCCCUUCAGGGAUUCCAUUUAGCCCUAUACUAGGGGGUUUAAAGUUUUGAUGCUGAUGGUCUUUUUAUAUUUUCAAGUCAUUUGUUACUGUGUGUUUCAUUUAUGUUAGUUUCAACUUCUAUUCCUUCUAGUUCAAUAAUCUUCUCUUCUGCAAUGUUUAAUCCACUGCCUUCUUCCAUUUCAGACUGUAAAUCAUACUUUUUAUCUACAGAAUUUGAUAUUUAAAAAAUUUUCAACCUCCCCAUUUAAUUAAAGUACAAUUAUACUAACUGCUCUAAUGUCCUUUUCUUCUAUUUCCAACAUGUCUGUCAAUUUCAACUAGAUUAUUAGAUUCUUCAUUAUGUGUCAUGUUUUCCUGCUUCUUUGGCUGCUUGAUAUUCUCUUAUUUUUAUUUUAUUUUUUGUGGGGGGAUAGAGUUUUGCUCUCGUUGCCCAGGCUGGAGUGCAAUGGUGUGAUCUCAGCUCACUGCAACCUCCACCUCCCAGGUACACAAGCGAUUCUCCUGUCUCAGCCUCCCAAGUAGCUCAGAUUACAGGCAUGCACCAUCAUGCCUGGCUAAUUUUUUUGUAUUUAGUAGAGAUGGGGUUUCACCAUGCUAGUCAGGCUGGUCGUGAACUCCUGACCUCAGGUGAUCCAUCUGGCUGCUUGAUAUUCUAAGAUUUGAUGCUGGAACUUUGGUGUCAAUGCUCAAAAUGCCCAAAGACACCACUCAACCUCAGUGUCUAUGCACACCCAAGCUUUUGCAGCAGGACAGGUAGAGCAGAGAUGAGUGUGCUACAACAUGCUGGUAGAGGGUACCCCAAUUGUGCUUGGGGAUUUCCUAUUCCUCAUGGAAAAAUGUGUCUUCCUUAAUUUUUCCCAUAAGAACCACCCUACUUCAUGCCCUGUCUCUCUGUCCAAACACCAGGACAGUCCUCUCACCAGUCUCAACCACCCAAUGGAUUGACAAAGGUGCAAAUAUGAUUCAGUGGAGAAGGCAUUCUCUUGUCAACAAAUUGUUUAGAAACAACUUUUUUUUACACAAUUUGUUUUUUUUUUAUCCCCAAAGGAAAAAAAUUCACCGGAACCUCAAUACUAAAUCAAAAACUAACUCAAAAUGGAUUAUGCAACUAAAUAUAAACUAUAAAACUAGAAAAAGUAUAGCAGAAAAUAUAAGACAAAAUCUUCAUGACACAGAGUUAGGCAAAGUGUUCUUUAUUAUCAAUAAACACAAACCAUUAAAGAAAACAUUGAUAAAUUCGACUUUAUAAAAAUUAAAAGUUUUUGCUCAACAGUAUUAAGAAAACAAAUAUAAGCUGCAGUUUGGGAGAAAAACAGUGGAAAUCACCAAUAUGACAAAGGGCAUGUGUGAUAGUUACUUGUACUUGUCACUGUGACUGAGCACCAGGGUGCCAGGACAUUUGGCCAAACAUGAUUCUGGUUGUGUUCCAGAGAGUCUUUCAGAUAUGAUUAACAUUGGGAUGGGCAGACUAAGUGAAGCAGAUUGCCCUCCUUAAUAGGGGUGGGCCUCAUGCAAUCAAUCAAGGGCCAGGAGAGAAUUAAGAGGCCUAAUGGGAAACAAAUGCUUUCCUGGGUAUCCAGCUUUCCUUCCAUCUUGGGAAUUUCAGCCUCCAUAAUCUCAGAAGCAAAUUCAUGUAUAUAUAUACACACACAUAUACAUUUCAUAGGUAUGUGGCUAAGAUUGUAUUUUUACAAGUUCAGCCAUGAGAUUGGUGAAGCCAGCCAAUGAAUAAGGGUGUGUUCUAUUAUACGAUUCAGUCUUCUUUUGUAAACGAUUGAAGUUCUGCAUUUGAAGUAGGAGGAUAGGAGGGAGCAAGUCCACCUAGGAUGAUAACAGCUGAAUUUCUCAACAUACACUUCAGAGCCGUAGGGGUCAACUUAGAGACUCAAAAAUCUCACCCAUAAUCCUGCCCCUAAACACCAGGGCUAGGGAACACUGUGGCCCUCAGUUGAUUUUCUUUAGCCAGGUCUGGGAGCCACACGACGGCAGAGGGAGCAGGAAACACUAUGCAAAUAGAGGCCAGGACAGCAGGGAGGGCCUGUUCAUGAUAGAACCCAGGUAAAACUAUCUUCAGAAAGCGAGUGUGGAGAAACAUAGAUCAUGCCUGAGACCUGGUGGAUUAGAGCACUGGCUACUGGGGAAUUGAAAGGAAGGGGCUUCACCGUGCAGAGGACCAGAGGUGCCAAUCUUGGAAAUGCAGAAUUGCUGGGAGAUGGGGAGGCACGGACCAUGGAAGUAUCCUCUGGAGACUCAUGGUGAAGAGAACAAAUGAAUGAAGUAACUGGCAGAAAUUAGAGGUCCUGGUAGAACAAAAUAGAAUCCCACAAUGAGAACAUACACCAUGUAUGUCCCCCAAGGAAGACAAUAUCUCCUAAAAACUCCAGAAAAAUCAUUUUGGGCAAGCACCUUAUAUCUAGUAAUGCGAUCCAUGUAACGAGACCGUGAGAAAAGAUUAUUAAACAUGCUAAACUCAGCGAGACCUGAUUCCCUCAUGAGGACUCUGUUAAGGAUGAGUACCACUCAGCAAGUGAUGACUGUGACAUUCACUUUUGAAUAGCUCAUGAGCGUUAAUAUAUUUCAUUGUGGAUCUAAACCAAAAACCAAGGUAGGGGCAAGAUGAUAAUCACAGAAUGUCACCGGUAUAUGUUUAGGUUCAAAUACUAUUAUGAGAAGUGGCAGGUAAAGGAGGUAGGAAAAAGAAAACACAUCAUGUAAUUGACUGUUGUAUGGAAAUAUUUGAUGCUGAAAGUUAUAAUUUAAAACUAUAAACCAAAUAUUAGAAGUGUGUCUAGUUCAAAGGGAGGAAAACCAUCAAAAACAUUUUUAGUGCAAUAUUUAACAUGAGCUAUACAACCCUUCCUAAAUGCCAAAGGCACACACAGACACACACACAGACACACACACACACACACACACACUCACA
Molecule: long non-coding RNA, 7528 nt
Organism: Pan troglodytes (chimpanzee)
Lineage: Eukaryota; Metazoa; Chordata; Mammalia; Primates; Hominidae
Exons: 4
Source: RefSeq, a predicted model, not a curated record